Molecule: ribosomal RNA, 476 nt
Filed under: uncultured bacterium
Lineage: Bacteria
Description: partial 16S ribosomal RNA
Rfam family: Bacterial small subunit ribosomal RNA
Source: RNAcentral
AGUGAACGCUGGCGGCGUGCUUAACACAUGCAAGUCGAACGGAUGAAAUAAGCUUGCUUAUUUCGUUAGUGGCGCACGGGUGAGUAAUGUAUAGCUAACCUGCCCUUUAGUGGGGGACAACAGUUGGAAACGACUGCUACUACCCCAUACUCCUUCUUAUCAUAAGGUAAGUCGGGAAAGAUUUAUUGCUAAAGGAUGGGGCUUUAUUGUAUCAGCUUGUUGGUGGGGUAAUGGCCUACCAAGGCGAUGACGCAUACCUGGUCUGAGAGGAUGAUCAGGCACACUGGAACUGAGACACGGUCCAGACUCCUACGGGAGGCAGCAGUGGGGAAUAUUGCACAAUGGGGGAAACCCUGAUGCAGCAACGCCGCGUGGAGGAUGACGCAUUUCGGUGUGUAAACUCCUUUUAUAAGGGAAGAUAAUGACGGUACCUUAUGAAUAAGCACCGGCUAACUCCGUGCCAGCAGCCGCGGUAA